Molecule: ribosomal RNA, 394 nt
Filed under: uncultured bacterium
Lineage: Bacteria
Description: bacterial SSU rRNA
Rfam family: Bacterial small subunit ribosomal RNA
Source: RNAcentral
UGGGGAAUUUUGCGCAAUGGGGGAAACCCUGACGCAGCAACGCCGCGUGGAGGAUGAAGCCCCUUGGGGCGUAAACUCCUUUCGACUGGGAAGAUUAUGACGGUACCAGUGGAAGAAGCACCGGCUAACUCUGUGCCAGCAGCCGCGGUAAUACGGAGGGUGCAAGCGUUAGUCGGAAUUACUGGGCGUAAAGGGUGCGUAGGCGGGGAUGUAAGUCAGAUGUGAAAUACCGUUGCUCAACAACGGCCGUGCAUCUGAAACUGCAUUUCUAGAGGGAUAGCGGAGAAAACGGAAUUCCACGUGUAGCGGUGAAAUGCGUAGAUAUGUGGAAGAACACCUGUGGCGAAAGCGGCUACCUGGACUCGUUCUGACGCUGAGGCACGAAAGCUGGGGG